GUGCGCAUGCAAGUGCGUGUGUACAGGUGCGUGUGCAAGUAUGUGCAUGUGUGUACAGGUGCGCGUGCGCAUGCAAGUGCGUGUGUACAGGUGCGUGUGCAAGUGUGUGCAUGUGUGUACAGGUGGGUGCACAUAGGUGUGUGCGCGGGUGCACAGGUGUGUGUUCCAGUGCACGUGCAAGGGUGCGUGCGUGUGUACAGGUGCACGUGCGCAUGCAAGUGCGUGUGUACAGGUGCAUGUGCAAGUGUGUGCGCGUGUGUACAGGUGGGCGCACAUGGGUGUGUGUGCAGGUGCACAGGUGUGUGUUCCAGUGCACAUGCAAGGGUGCGUGUGUAUGUACAGGUGGGUGUGUAUGCCUGUGCACGCAUGCAUGUGUGUGCGCAAGUGCAUGUGCAAGUCCAUGCCCGCAUGUGCUUGCACCUGUGCAUACACACGUGUAUACAUGUGUACCCCAGUGUACGCAUGUGCAUGCAUGUGUAUACACGCACGUGUUAUAUGUGUAUAUACCCCGAGUGCAUAUGCAAGUGUGUGUAUGUGUGUAUGAUGUGGGUGCAUCCUCAUGCACAUGUGUUAACGUGUUCAGCAGUGUGUGCACAUAUCCAUGUGUGUCUGCAUGGGUGCAUGGGUGUGUGCGGGCACAUGUGCACAUGCGUACAUAUGGGCAUGCAUGUGCAUGUUCACCUGUGCGUACAUGAGUGUACACGUGUUGCGUGUUUGGAGGUGUACGCACUGCUGUACAACAGCACCACAACCCUCUGUUGGGGGUCAGCACAUUCCAGUGGCCUGUUUUUCUUUUUGAUAAUAGUUUUUUCUUUGUUGUCAUUUUUUUUUUUUAAAAUGUCCCAGCACCCAAGACCCAUUAAACAGAAUCGCUAACUGUAGGAUGAAAUCAUCCCUGUAGGGUUACACCCAGGUAUAAAUCUCAUAGGUAAUACUAUAUGCUACAGUCACUAGCCUUGGGAAAGUAAGAUAGAGAUGAAAUACCAGGCUGGCAAAAAGAAUGAGUUGUAUCUGAUGUAUUUACUGAUCCUCAGAGAAAAGAGCUUUUAAAGUUGCGCUUUUGCACUGGUUUAGCUAUGUGUUAAAUGUUCCUGCAGUCUGAGCAGUCUCACUGAACUGAGUGCAACUGCUUGUGGUGCACAAGAGAUGAUGAUAUGUAAAUUGUUGCAGGAGCAAGACCAUGUCAUUGCAACAACAGUAGCUUCAGUUAUGUAGCACUGGGCUUUCCUGACAUUCUUCCUAACACAGGAUUGUGUAUUUUUUAGAGCCCAGAUUAAGAAAU
Molecule: long non-coding RNA, 1282 nt
Filed under: Crocodylus porosus (Australian saltwater crocodile)
Lineage: Eukaryota; Metazoa; Chordata; Crocodylia; Crocodylidae
Description: lncRNA (ENSCPRG00005002012.1)
Source: RNAcentral